UGGGGAAUAUUGCACAAUGGGCGGAAGCCUGAUGCAGCAACGCCGCGUGCGGGAUGACGGCCUUCGGGUUGUAAACCGCUUUCGCCUGUGACGAAGCGUGAGUGACGGUAAUGGGUAAAGAAGCACCGGCUAACUACGUGCCAGCAGCCGCGGUGGUACGUAGGGUGCGAGCGUUGUCCGGAUUUAUUGGGCGUAAAGGGCUCGUAGGUGGUUGAUCGCGUCGGAAGUGUAAUCUUGGGGCUUAACCCUGAGCGUGCUUUCGAUACGGGUUGACUUGAGGAAGGUAGGGGAGAAUGGAAUUCCUGGUGGAGCGGUGGAAUGCGCAGAUAUCAGGAGGAACACCAGUGGCGAAGGCGGUUCUCUGGGCCUUUCCUGACGCUGAGGAGCGAAAGCGUGGGGAGCGAACAGGCUUAGAUACCCUGGUAGUCCACGCUGUAAACGGUGGGUACUAGGUGUGGGGGUCCAUUCCACGGGGUUCCGUGCCGUAGCUAACGCUUUAAGUACCCCGCCUGGGGAGUACGGCCGCAAGGCUU
Molecule: ribosomal RNA, 533 nt
Filed under: uncultured bacterium
Lineage: Bacteria
Description: bacterial SSU rRNA
Rfam family: Bacterial small subunit ribosomal RNA
Source: RNAcentral